GAAAUGCGAUAAGUAAUGUGAAUUGCAGAAUUCAGUGAAUCAUCGAAUCUUUGAACGCACCUUGCACCCUUUGGUAUUCCGAAGGGUACGCCCGUUUGAGUGUCGUUGUACUCUCAAUCCUACACUUUAUUGUUGUACGGAUUGGACUUGGGUCCUGUUGCGCUCUGCAACUGAUCCGAAAUGUAUCAGCGUGUGUCCGUCGUGACGAUGAACCGAUUGUUAAGUUUCAUCGGGCUCGCUUUGUCGAGGUCGUCUGACGAAACCACAUGCCUAACCCCCUUUACUUUUGACAAUUCGACCUCAAAUCGGGUGGGAUCACCCGCUGAACUUAA
RNAcentral lists this unclassified non-coding RNA (332 nucleotides) under uncultured Sebacinales. Its description in RNAcentral is "sequence contains ITS1". The stretch from base 1 to 105 matches the Rfam family "5.8S ribosomal RNA", at positions 50 to 154 of the family's 154-position model. Lineage: Eukaryota; Fungi; Basidiomycota; Agaricomycetes; Sebacinales. The record is from RNAcentral.